Long non-coding RNA from Oxyura jamaicensis (ruddy duck), 1797 nucleotides. RefSeq lists it as uncharacterized. The transcript is spliced from 5 exons. Lineage: Eukaryota; Metazoa; Chordata; Aves; Anseriformes; Anatidae. The record is from RefSeq and is a predicted model, not a curated record.
CAAGGUGUGAUCUCUGGGAACCUGUGACUUGUUAAAGCUGCCAGGCUGAGGAAAGGAGGUGCUUCAGGUGGCAGCGGCCCAUCAGUGCUGUCCUCAGGAGCUCUCGGCCGCCCUGGAUUUUCUCCAGGAGCGUGGGAACAAGUUCAGCCAGACUGAGAAGCAGUCCAGAAAUAUCUUACGGACAGAAGGGAUAAGGGCAAGGUUGCUGUUUGGGGGCUUUGGACUCAUUCCCAUCUGCUGUCAAGGCAUCUCCAGCAGGAAUAGCAUGUAAAGUGAAGGAGGGUGUUUCCAAUCUGUUGUCAGAUUGGUUCCUGGCAGCCUGAGCACAAGCCACUGGCAGCUAGAUAGCUUCAUGCAAGAUUAAUGAAGCACAAGACUCAGCAAGCAAAAGGAAGCGCUGCGAUGUCUCGCCUGCCCUCUCCAGAGGCUUCCCAGCCAAACGUGCCACGUCCCGGGUGACGUGCGGCAGAGCCACGCGGUCUGACCGGGGCGCUCGGUGGCGCUGGGGCUGCAGAGGAUGCUGAGUGAUGUAAACACCUUCACCUUGAGAGCUGCUGCAAUAAAAAACAGAGUAACAGAGUAAAGCAUGGGGACAGAUGGGCAGGCAUAUUGAGAAGCACCCAUUGUAGGGGCUUGAAGUGGAGCACAGAGGCAUGACACAUCUUUGGGUACGUUUGGCUGCGUGCCCCGGGGGCGAGUGUCCUGCAGCCGUGUGCCGGCCCUGCCGCCCUGGGGCAGCGCACACAGCAGGCACAAGGCUGUUUGCUGGGCUGCUGGAGCGCUUUAUGUCAAGGCCGUUGCCUGGAGGACAUUUUUCAGCUUGUAGAACUUAAUUCAAUUAAUGGAAUAUCUGGGAAAGCGGAAACAUUCUUUUUGUGACGCUUCUUCAAAGGAAUUAAUUUUGGCAAUAGAUAGCUUUAAUACCAUUGUUUAUUUUUCUCAAUUUGCAGAAGACUCAGAGGGAUGCCUGUAUAAGAGACAGACAUCUAGACAAAAUAGUUCAAAAUAAUGCUUUUUUUUUUUAAAAAAAAAAAAAAAAAAAGAGAAAAGAAUAAUCUUGAAUCUACCACCCAGUCUUUCUGAGAGUUUGCUGUGUGGUACAUGAAAACUGGGGUGCCAGGAGGAGUACUUUUGUAUGGAAUCAGGAUAAAAGACGAGUCUGAAAAGAAGAGUUGCCUGGGAACGAAGGCUGUUGCUGGAAAAUGAUUAUGAGGACAUUUUAAUGCACUGAAUAUGUACAACUGGAAAAGCUGAAAUAAAGAAAAUGAGUAUUGUUAUUGUUCCAUCAUCCAGUUUAACAACUUCUCCCCAUUUCUUGUAAAACCUGGAUCAUAUGAAAGAAUCCACUAAAACAGCAGAAAGGAGAAUUGCUGUGAUAAUGAGUUACACUUCCUGGGCAAGGCACACAUUUGGACAAAGGCAGCUACCUUCAUGGAAAUGGUCAGAGAAGUGAAUAAAGAUGCCUACUGGCAGCGACAGUAAGAAAGAUUUUUCCCUGCAUAAAACAAAAGUGGAGGUGAGGAGAUUAACUGAGCAAGAAACCGAGCUAAGCGGAUCUCCACAAGCUUCACAUCCGAAGCAGAGGCCAGCAGCACUGCUGCGCUAUGUGGGCAGGAAGGAGACAGGGAGACGUUUCCCGGCAUGGAGAGAACACUUCUAGUCCUUUCUCAGGCAAUUUUUUAAGUAUUAGCAACCAUGGUAACUGAAUAGAAAUGUAACCCGUGUGCUGUGCAUUCAGCUUGACACAAUUAUCUCUGCAGAACAGUCACGUUAAAAAUAAACAUGGCUUGCACCAGA